Lagenorhynchus albirostris (white-beaked dolphin) is the source of this 470-nucleotide long non-coding RNA. RefSeq lists it as uncharacterized. Lineage: Eukaryota; Metazoa; Chordata; Mammalia; Artiodactyla; Delphinidae. The transcript has 3 exons. The record is from RefSeq and is a predicted model, not a curated record.
AACGCCAGGGCACACCAUUCAGAGACUCUGAUGUUACACAACCCCGCAGCCAUGAUAUGGUGUCCCCUGCUGCAUACCCUCUGCCAGGCGAUCUGGGAUCUCAGCUUGGUAUUUGCAACCAACUCGAAUCUCCCCCUGAUCAGCUAGAAGUGUCUUCUGCACAGGAUCAAACACCAGUGAGUAAAAAAAGCAGUCCUGGAGAUGGAAAGAGAGAAGGUACUGGCUCAAGAUAUCUGUCUCAUUCAAGAGGGUCACACUGCAUUUCCCCCUACAGGAGAGAGGUCAGAAAACCCUGGGGAAGAGCUGCUGAGAGUACAAAGACUGCCACAGAAAUACAUCACAGACCCAGGUGCCACGGCUCAGACACCACUCAUACAGCACAAAUCUGCUCACAUGAGACCCAGCAAGAAGAUCCCACCUGUCUCUUGCUAAACUAGCCUGGGGUCCAGAAAUCCAAAUUAAAUAAAUGA